GGCAGUUCUCGGGUGAUGCACCCUGGAAUCGGGCUCCUUCCUCUAUGGUUCCGGGUGUGUCACCCAAGAACCGCA
Myotis davidii is the source of this 75-nucleotide non-coding RNA. Lineage: Eukaryota; Metazoa; Chordata; Mammalia; Chiroptera; Vespertilionidae. The record is from Rfam.